UAAGGAGAAUGUUUUGGAGCUGCAGGAUUUGCCGGCCUUGAAGGCACUGACCACCCAGUUCUCUUCUCUGGCUCUUAUUUCACUCUUUAUGAUUCACAUUCACUUUUAGUCCUCACCCUUAAAUGCUUGAGUCUUAUUGAAAGACAGAUGGUGCCACACCUUUCACUGUGCUUCUUAGUUGGAAUGGAGCCCAAUCACGCAGGAGGAUCACCACACAUAUCCUAUAGGUUAUGAAGCACCAUUAACUUCAAUGGAGAUUCUCGGCUUGCGACGAGAGGAGAUAAUGCCUUCAUGGGUGACCCGACAAGUUUAUUUGGAUUGCUACAUAUUUGUGCUUAAAGUGAGGUGCAA
Long non-coding RNA from Pristis pectinata (smalltooth sawfish), 351 nucleotides. RefSeq lists it as uncharacterized. The transcript is spliced from 3 exons. Lineage: Eukaryota; Metazoa; Chordata; Chondrichthyes; Rhinopristiformes; Pristidae. The record is from RefSeq and is a predicted model, not a curated record.